This 1973-nucleotide unclassified non-coding RNA is filed under the name Leishmania donovani. Its description in RNAcentral is "gene:LdHU3.26.0500(CDS-product:2OG-Fe(II)_oxygena se_superfamily_putative)". Lineage: Eukaryota; Euglenozoa; Kinetoplastea; Trypanosomatida; Trypanosomatidae. The record is from RNAcentral.
UGUCUCUGUCUGUCGUUGAGCAGGGAGGAGGUCAUCAAACACGGGUGAGCUCGGCACUACCACCGCGACUCGCGCACGCGCAUAGCGCCGCGAAUUCGAAGUUCUUCCAGCCUUAUUUUCUGCUGCCUCUUUUCGCUUCAUUGUCUCCACCGCCAUGUCCCUCGCAGGCGAUCCACUCGACCACCUUCUCCCUCUCCUAAAGCUGCCUCCGCGGCAGAUGAAGAAGACGCACAUCUCGUGUAAGAAGUGGCUGGCACGCUUUUUCAGGAUCGUCGCACCAGAAGCAGGGAUCCAGGCGCACGAUGGAGACGCCUUCGGCGCUCUCGCGGCGCGCCUCCUCCCGCCCCAUGAGCAAGCCACCGGCUUUGUGGCGUUAAACGGCGGCACCCAUGCCGGUUGCACCCCUUAUGACCUUCGUCAGACUCUGGAGGCACACGGACUGCUGCGCUGCGCUGCGGCCGCUACCCCGCAAAAAUGCUCCUGCGCCUCUCCUACUGCUGCGUCUGCCACGCCGUUGCCGUCGAACGGCGUGCUGCAGCACAGUUCCACGCUGCCUUUUGUCGUGUGCAGCGUCCCUCUACAGUUGCCCCGCGAUGCAGUGGAAGGAGCUGGUGCGGGGGCAAGGGCCUUGUCCCAUAGUGUCUCUGUGAUGCAUGUUGCUGUGGCGGAGCUGGCGCACUUUGCUGCCUCUGCCGAAGGAGCGUCUUCCUGCCCCAGUGGGGCGGACCUCCGCGACGACGAGGUCACCCAAACGGGGGCGCUGGUGCACACCUCGCCCGCGUCCUCCCCCGCUGUUGACGGCGCGGCAGCCGACAAAGCAUCCGUGAUGGUGGUGGUGGUGCUGCAAGUGCCGCCGAACGCCUCGCUGUGGAAGGAGGCAUCGUCUUCGACGUCCUCUUCCUCUGCAAAGAAGGGCUGCGGCUUCCUCUACUUGGUGCCGUGUGACGCCGCUGCCGUGCGCUCGCGCGUUGCCCACUUGUUGCAGCGGCCGGUAGUCGGAAUUGAGCGGCUGCUUCCAUCCUCGACUAGUCUGUCGUGUGCUGCCGCCGAGGAGGAGCGAGGCUCACAAGACUGCUCCUCGAGGGCGCGGCCGACCCAGUCGCUCUCAAACGGGGCAGCGCCGCCAGCACGUACGUGCACAUCACAAGCUGUGCCGGAUGUUCCCGGCCUCUUCCUUGUGGAGGACUUUGUAACGGCAGAUGAGGAGAAGACCAUAUGGCACGAACUUCACCACGGACGUCCGCGGCUACAGAUGGAAUAUCUCUCGCGCCGCCGCGUGGCACACUUCAACCGCCGCUUCCUCUACGGAGUGAAUGCGCUCACGGCGGAGGGGGACGUGACGAACGCGCGUCCGUCUUUCUAUGUGUGGAUGCGCGCACGGCUGCAGAAUGACAUGGCUGCCGGGGGCGUGCGCAUCGACGGAGAUUAUCCCUUCCGCCCUGGCGACCACGAGUGCGACCAACUGACGGUGAACUACUACGACUACAGCGAGGUAGGGGCGUGCGGCAUUGCCGCCCACGUGGAUGCGCACAACGCGUUCGACGACGCAGUUUUCAUCGUGUCGCUUGGCUCGUACACCGUAAUGGAGUUUUCGCGCUGGGAUGCACCGGCAGAGGUGGCUGCGCCUGUCGGCGUCUACCUAGCCCCACGCUCCCUCGUCGUCAUAGCUGGGGAGGCCCGCUACGGCUGGACGCACUGUAUCGCUGAAAAGAGGACGGACACGCUGUCCGAGCUACUGCCUACCUUCAGUCGAGGGGAUAGGAUGAGCCUCACAUGGCGGCGCGGGCGGACGCAGCGGCACACCAAAGCCGAGUGCCCGUAUCCUGCCCUGUGCGACGGUGCGUAAAGGCCUGCGCGUGAGAGUGGCAGCCGCUCUUUAUUUUGAACCCGUUCUUGCUGUCUGUGUGCUUGGGUGUCCGCAUCCUUCUCUGUCUUCGUUCGUCGCUGCAGUAAGCCACAUGUGUUCACGCGAC